AGUGAACGCUGGCGGUAGGCCUAACAAAUGCAAGUCGAACGGCAGCACAGUAAGAGCUUGCUCUUACGGGUGGCGAGUGGCGGACGGGUGAGGAAUGCAUCGGAAUCUACUUUUUCGUGGGGGAUAACGUAGGGAAACUUACGCUAAUACCGCAUACGACCUACGGGUGAAAGCAGGGGAUCUUCGGACCUUGCGCGAUUGAAUGAGCCGAUGUCGGAUUAGCUAGUUGGCGGGGUAAAGGCCCACCAAGGCGACGAUCCGUAGCUGGUCUGAGAGGAUGAUCAGCCACACUGGAACUGAGACACGGUCCAGACUCCUACGGGAGGCAGCAGUGGGGAAUAUUGGACAAUGGGCGCAAGCCUGAUCCAGCCAUACCGCGUGGGUGAAGAAGGCCUUCGGGUUGUAAAGCCCUUUUGUUGGGAAAGAAAAGCAGCAGGUUAAUACCCCGCUGUUCUGACGGUACCCAAAGAAUAAGCACCGGCUAACUUCGUG
This 492-nucleotide ribosomal RNA is filed under the name uncultured bacterium. RNAcentral's name for it is "partial 16S ribosomal RNA". It matches the Rfam family "Bacterial small subunit ribosomal RNA", at positions 29 to 507 of the family's 1533-position model. The record is from RNAcentral.